UACUUUGCUGACGAGCGGCGGACGGGUGAGUAAUGCUUGGGAACAUGCCUUGAGGUGGGGGACAACAGUUGGAAACGACUGCUAAUACCGCAUAAUGUCUACGGACCAAAGGGGGCUUCGGCUCUCGCCUUUAGAUUGGCCCAAGUGGGAUUAGCUAGUUGGUGAGGUAAUGGCUCACCAAGGCAACGAUCCCUAGCUGGUUUGAGAGGAUGAUCAGCCACACUGGGACUGAGACACGGCCCAGACUCCUACGGGAGGCAGCAGUGGGGAAUAUUGCACAAUGGGCGCAAGCCUGAUGCAGCCAUGCCGCGUGUGUGAAGAAGGCCUUCGGGUUGUAAAGCACUUUCAGUCAGGAGGAAAGGUUAGUAGUUAAUACCUGCUAGCUGUGACGUUACUGACAGAAGAAGCACCGGCUAACUCCGUGCCAGCAGCCGCGGUAAUACGGAGGGUGCGAGCGUUAAUCGGAAUUACUGGGCGUAAAGCGUACGCAGGCGGUUUGUUAAGCGAGAUGUGAAAGCCCCGGGCUCAACCUGGGAACUGCAUUUCGAACUGGCAAACUAGAGUGUGAUAGAGGGUGGUAGAAUUUCAGGUGUAGCGGUGA
RNAcentral lists this ribosomal RNA (601 nucleotides) under Pseudoalteromonas atlantica. RNAcentral describes it as "bacterial SSU rRNA". It matches the Rfam family "Bacterial small subunit ribosomal RNA", at positions 81 to 684 of the family's 1533-position model. Lineage: Bacteria; Pseudomonadati; Pseudomonadota; Gammaproteobacteria; Alteromonadales; Pseudoalteromonadaceae. The record is from RNAcentral.